Delphinapterus leucas (beluga whale) is the source of this 799-nucleotide non-coding RNA. Lineage: Eukaryota; Metazoa; Chordata; Mammalia; Artiodactyla; Monodontidae. The record is from RefSeq and is a predicted model, not a curated record.
UCCCUUAAAUAGGCUGUAUGUGGGCUGAGAAAGUGAGGAGGAAAACAUGGUAGACACUUCUCAACAAACAUGGGGGCGGGACUCUGGCAACUACCAUUUGGAAUAUGGGGAUAUUUGUCACCGGCCCCUGGCUUUGGGGUUUCAGCUGAAGGACUGCUCUUCCCACCCUUUACAUAGAUGAGCAAGUACUGUAUGUGCAUGAGAUUAACUCCUUCCUGAGCACAAGGGCCCCAAUCUCUACUUUUUUCUACUUUCACCUACAGCCACUGGGAGAGAGGGAGGCAGUGAAGCCAAGGAGCUAGGAGCCCAGGCUCUGGAAUCAUAGAGACACAAGUUCAAGUCCCUGCUCACACUUAGUCAGCUUUGGGUCUCAGUAGUGCUUUCAAGUAAGAAUGAUGUUCCAUGAAGAAAAAGCGGCUAUUUCUGCUUGACACACAUACCAUCACACAAGUGCUUUUCCUUGACGUGGGCACUGUACUUCGGACUCCACGUGGAAGAGCCAGGCUGGCAGACAUUGUCACCGACCACUUGAGGAAUAGAAGCAAAGACCUCGAAAUCUGCAAAACGCAGCGAAAUUGAUCUCGAAAAGAAUAUCCCGGCAUCUGGUAAGGUGGACUUCCGUUUCCUAUUUUUCAACAACACCGUGCUUUUUGUUUCAUGUAUUGAUCUGACCGACGUUUACUGGGUUCCUAGUGUGUCCAGGCGUUAUGCCAGGGUCCCGAGUAUAAUCAGGUGUGGACCUCACCUGGGAAGAGCUUACAGUCUAACGAUGGUGAGAGAGAGGAAGAAGCAGGCAGAA